GACGAACGCUGGCGGCGUGCUUAACACAUGCAAGUCGAACGGAAAGGCCCUGCUUUUGUGGGGUGCUCGAGUGGCGAACGGGUGAGUAACACGUGAGUAACCUGCCCUUGACUUUGGGAUAACUUCAGGAAACUGGGGCUAAUACCGGAUAGGAGCUCCUGCUGCAUGGUGGGGGUUGGAAAGUUUCGGCGGUUGGGGAUGGACUCGCGGCUUAUCAGCUUGUUGGUGGGGUAGUGGCUUACCAAGGCUUUGACGGGUAGCCGGCCUGAGAGGGUGACCGGCCACAUGGGGGCUGAGAUACGGCCCAGACUCCUACGGGAGGCAGCAGUGGGGAAUAUUGCACAAUGGGCGGAAGCCUGAUGCAGCAACGCCGCGUGCGGGAUGACGGCCUUCGGGUUGUAAACCGCUUUCGCCUGUGACGAAGCGUGAGUGACGGUAAUGGGUAAAGAAGCACCGGCUAACUACGU
This 467-nucleotide ribosomal RNA is filed under the name uncultured bacterium. Its description in RNAcentral is "partial 16S ribosomal RNA". It matches the Rfam family "Bacterial small subunit ribosomal RNA", at positions 28 to 506 of the family's 1533-position model. The record is from RNAcentral.